Molecule: long non-coding RNA, 1345 nt
Filed under: Homo sapiens (human)
Lineage: Eukaryota; Metazoa; Chordata; Mammalia; Primates; Hominidae
Description: long intergenic non-protein coding RNA 2443
Source: RNAcentral
CUUCACCUCCCAUUGUCUCUGUCUCUCUCUUUCUCCUCUGCUUCCCCUCACCCCACAACCAAAGUCAAGAGCGCAGACCCCAUGAUCACCUGAUACUUCCAAGCAAGCAGGUGUUCUUUUCAGAAGCCAGAAGCUGAUAACCUGGGCUUUCUGAUCUAACCCCAGCCCAAAUUCAUUGCAAUGGAGGAAUUGGGGAGGAGAUUCUUCCUACUGAGAAGUGGGUGCCAACUCUCCCUUUCAAAUUUGUUCAUCAACAAACUAAAGGGGAUGCCAGAAAUGUCUGGAGCAAUGGAAGAACCACUGGAAUAAUGCUCCUGCCUGAUUGUAUCUACUUAACCCACUCUCCAAGAGCCAGAAUCAGAUUUCAACCGUAUGGAAUCAUCUACAAUGCAGCAGAUGGGUUUACAAGUCUCUUGGUCUCUUCAUGAAGAAGGCGCAGCAAUCGUGUCCCAAGUCCUUGAGGACUUCACAGGGUGUUCUAGUGUCCUGAGAAUAUACCUGCCUAAGAUCUCACUGAUAUAAAGUGGAUGAAAGGGAGUGCAAAUACAGGUUCCUUUUUCUCCAAAUUCCAUACUCUCUACCAGUGCUCUGGGACUGGUGAAGAAUUCUGGGCCACUAUCUCUGCAGUGUUACACAAGCAAGUGGCAGGAGAGGUGCCUCCACAAUGCAGCGCGCAGCUCCUCCUGGGCGUCAUUAGCAUGCAGCCUACGUUCUUCAAGAUGGCGCCCAGUUCAGCCUGUCAGCGAGUGAUCUAUGAUGUGUCACUUGUGCUAUUAACAGGCGUUUUCAAUUUCAGCAGCCUCAGCACAUUUAGUUCCUCUCCCAUGUGAUCACUGCUCUGUCCUCCAUUAAUAACCACUUUCAAACCCUUCUAGCACCCACCUGGGCAGUUCCCUCUCAUGCCUUCCUCACAGGGUAGGGCUGGACUCUUUGCCCAUGGGAGAUGAUUGGGAAUAAUCUCUGUCCUGUGGGGUGAGCUGAACAAGGGGCAACUGCUCUACACAUGUGGACCAUCAAUAUAUCUCUAUUAAUGAGUGAAUUAAUUAAAGACAGACACAAAAAAUGACUUUCUCGUUGGUGGAGAUUGUCUGUUGCUGAGAAAGGUGAUGUCAGCUCUCUGGAUGAGGCUGAGGAAGGAGAAAAGGAUGAAGAUGGAACAAGCCCUGCCUUGUCAAUGCUUAUGCUUAGAAAGACUGGGGAGACUUGCAUGACUAUGCAGUGAAGGGUCCCCAAAGGGGGCUUAAUCUGCCGACCCAUGAAGGAUAUCAAGCAUGACUGGGCCUGUUGUAACAUUUCAGAGAAUGUCAGCCAAUAAUAAUAAAAUCUUCUUCAUUCUACAUGCUCU